This 343-nucleotide ribosomal RNA is filed under the name uncultured bacterium. RNAcentral describes it as "bacterial SSU rRNA". It matches the Rfam family "Bacterial small subunit ribosomal RNA", at positions 32 to 351 of the family's 1533-position model. The record is from RNAcentral.
AAUCAACGCUGGCGGCGUGCCUCAGACAUGCAAGUCGAACGCGAAAGUCCCCCUUCGGGGGGACAAGUAGAGUGGCGCACGGGUGAGUAACACGUAGGUAAUCUACCUUCGGAUGGGGAAUAACAAUCGGAAACGGUUGCUAAUACCGCAUAAUGCAGCGGCACCUAAUGGUGACAGUUGUUAAAGCGGGGGGAUCGAAAGACCUCGCGUCUGAAGAGGAGCCUGCGGCGGAUUAGCAGUUGGUAAGGUAAUGGCUUACCAAGGCGACGAUCCGUAACCGGCCUGAGAGGGGCGGUCGGUCACACUGACACUGACAUACGGGUCAGACUCCUACGGGAGGCAG